This 252-nucleotide ribosomal RNA is filed under the name uncultured bacterium. RNAcentral describes it as "partial 16S ribosomal RNA". It matches the Rfam family "Bacterial small subunit ribosomal RNA", at positions 524 to 776 of the family's 1533-position model. The record is from RNAcentral.
UACGUAGGUGGCAAGCGUUGUCCGGAAUUACUGGGCGUAAAGAGCAUGUAGGCGGUUUUUUAAGUCCGGAGUGAAAAUGCGGGGCUCAACCCCGUAUGGCUCUGGAUACUGGAAGACUUGAGUGCAGGAGAGGAAAGGGGAAUUCCCAGUGUAGCGGUGAAAUGCGUAGAUAUUAGGAGGAACACCAGUGGCGAAGGCGACUUUCUGGACAGUAACUGACGUUGAGAUGCGAAAGCCAGGGUAGCGAACGGG